GCGGGGAGGGCUGUCUAAAGUCCCCUUCCCACAAGGACUGGGAUCCCAGCUGCAGCAGGCCCUGUUGGGUGGGCUGGAGUGGAGGGGCCCACGGUGAGCAGCAGCACCUGAGGCCCGUGGUCACUGAGAGCGGUUGCUCUGAGGGAGGACAGGCCACUCCAGGCGUUGGCUGGAGGAGGGCUCUGCAGCAGCAUCAGAGGUGGGCAUCGCACGGUGGUUCCCCCAGUCUGGAUCAGGGCCUUCCCUGAGCAAGAAACCCAGAGCCCAGACACGCACACACGCACAGGCAUGCCACACAUGUGGACAUCAGGGCACAGCGUUGGGGGUGUUGCAUGUUGUUGACUGCUCUGUGCACUCAGCCAGCGUCCCCACAUGCUACACGUGGUCCCAGGAACAGGGCUGGCUCGCAGUGUUUCCUUGAACCCAGUACCGGCACGCAGAGCUGGGGCCUGGUUGAGGAUUUCUGAGUCUCCCACUCUUCAUUUCUGAACAGCACUGUCCAUCUGUUCUCAGUGGUAACUUCUGCUGGAAGCCACUGGACAGAGAUGUGUCCCCAAGGAGAGCUCUAGACCUGAGAACAGUUGGGCAAUGCCUCUGUGCACACGUUCCUUCUCAGCAUCAAGCCGGUCUCUCUGCCUUCCCUGUCCUGGGCUUCUCUGCCUCUCCCACACCAGGGCCCUAGAGGUCAGACUGAGCUGGGCUCCAAGUGGACCAGGUCCAAGCAGAGCCAUGCAGGCCUGUCGUGGUUGGAGGCUCUGGCCCCUUAGUAUCCCCCGUCCGCAUGGGUAUGGGUACCUUGAGAGGAGCAGGGAGUGCCCCUGUCAGGGAGGACCCAGUCCUCUCCUCCCACUCCCUGAAGCCUGCAGCAGCUGAGUGGAGGCAGAGGACCCAGUACCCUUCUUGCCCACCUACUGGUUUAGCAAGACCUCAGCACAGCCACCAAGCACCCCCAACCUCAUUCCUGAGCCUACUGUCCUCUCUGGAGCCUGUCUCUGCCCCUGGAUUGAACCCUGACCCAGAGCAGAGCUCCUGCAGCAGCCUGAGAGUGCCCCCUGUGGGCACCAGCCCCUCUGAGCACCUCUGGGCUGGGUGCUCUGCCUGGCCAGCUGUAGCAUGGCCUUCCUUGGGAGGGCUCCAGACACCAGCGCUCAAGUCAGCUUUUCACAAACCCCUGGGUGCUCGUGCAUGUAGGAGAGAACAAGGGAGGCUAGUUCCCUUUUGGGACCACAGUGAAGCUGCUGGAGAAUGACAUGAAAUCACAGUAGGAGAUGUGCAAACAGAGCAGGCAGCACAAGGUGGGUUUGAGGCCACUGCUCUGGAAGCCCUCCGAGCACUUAUCCACAGGCAGGAGGUCAGAAUGAGCACCCCAGCCUUCUCCUGCAUGCAGUGAGGGCUGGCCACACAGCACAUCCUGGGCAGAGAGGACCUCCACUGAGCCCAUGGUCACUGCUGGUGGCAGAGGAGCUGUUCAAGAAACCUGCAGGUGACAUUCUCAUUGUGAAGGAGCAUGUGCUGUCAGUCUAGGUGGGAACAAGGCACAGAGAGCCAACACAUGUGGCAAGAAGGAGAACUGGGUCCUAGGCAGAGACUGAAGGGGCAGAACUCGCUGCUCACAGGUGGGGCAACCGUCAUGCCACGUGUGAGAAAUCUACCAGAGACAGGAACGAGUCAGCUCAGCAAGGUCGCAGGAAACCAGGUUCACAAAGAGCACUGUGCCCCAACACAGGAGCAGGUGAUGGGGAAGUCCAUGACACCAUUCACAUCAAAAACGUAAACACCUGAGAAUGUAGGAGUCGUGCCAGCCUUCUAUACUGAGCUACAAAGCACGACGAGAGAACAAGCAUCUAGACCAACCGGGAAGAGGUACUUGUUCACGGUUGCAAGGCUCGCUUAGGAGAGUGUCUUCCCCAAGGCAUUCAAGGUAAUCCAAUCUGAAUCCCAGGCUUCUUAUUUUGUAGAAAGGAAAAGCUGAUUCCAAACAGACAGGAAAAUCGGAAGGACCCACCACAGCCACAGCUAUUUUGAGUAAGAGGAGCCAAUGUUGGGGUGGGUGUUCUCACAGAGAGAAGGGCAAGAACAGCUUCCAGAAAGAGACACCUGCGUGUCCAGGAAGGUGCCCUGUGGCCCGGCUGGGCACUGCCUUUCAGAACUACUGGAUGUACACAGACACAUGGUCCUUAGCUGGGACAGGCGCAGCUCAGUGGCAGAGCACUGGCCUUGCAUGCACAGGGCCCCAGGAUCCCUCCCCAUACCACAGACAAAAAGAACAUUGACCCUUGUUUCAUACCCAUUCACAAACACCAAUUUGAAAUAGAUUCUAGGCCUACAUUAAAAGUAAAACUUGAAUAUAUUAGUGUGGUAGCCAUUAGCUAUUUAAAUCACAGCUGGUGGCUACAUGCAGGGCAGCUCAGGUAGGUAAGCUUUCCAUCAACACAGUCCUGCUGGGUAGUGACUACAGUAGUCUGCUUUUCAUCUCUGUAAGAAAAUGCCUGAGGUAGUCGGCUCGUAAGGAGGAAAGGUUUACUUCUGCUCAGUGUUGAAGGUCUUAAUAUUACUUGGCCCGUUGAUCUCUGAGCCUGUGGCAUACUUCAUGGGGGAGCAUGUGGUUUGUCACAAUUGCUCACCUUGCUACAGGAAGCAGAAGACAGAAAGGGCCUGGGUCCCCCAGUCUCCUCCUAGUCCCCAGCCCAUGACCUAGACCUCCCAGUAGGCCCCACCUUGACCAGGCCUCACCACCUCCCUGGGCACGAGCCUUCGACACAGCCUCAGGGAACACCUAGCAUCCCAACCAGGACCUCUCCCGACCUCGGCUGGAGGCACAAUCCAUGAGAGGAAGUGCUACCAGACUGGACCAGGAGCAGUGGGAGGAGGCCAGAAGGGGCAGGAGAGGCCGGCCACCUGGGAGAAAGGUCUACACUCCAUGUCCACGUUCCUGACACAGGGCUUGUGUCCAGAGUAAGUGAAUAACACUUGUGACCUGGGAAUAAGAAGAUAAUCCAGUUUUUUAAAAAAGCAAAAGUUUUGAGAAGACCCAGAGGUGUACAAAUGACCAAUAAGCAUGUGGAAAUAUGCCUGAUAUCAGUCACGCAUCACCAAGAUCGAGGGUCCAUGGGGUGCCCACUGGAUGCUCACCCUUAAAAAUAGGCGCCAAGGGCUGGCGAGCACACGGAGCAGCCUGGGAGCCUAAGCAGCCCGUGUGGCCGUCCCUCCCCACGCACCUGCUCAGGAGGGCGGAGGCACGUGCACGCGGUGCACCCCAUGUAGCUGUGGUUGCUAGAAACCAGCAGGGCCCAGAUGGGCUUAGGAGGUGAAGGACAAGCAUGCCCGGUGCCUGUAAGUGCUAGGCAGGCCAGACCACGUGGGACAGGGGGCUCUGUCCUGACAGGAAUGGGUCAGUGCCGGCCUGUGGCCAGAGGAGGGUCAGUGGAGCAGUCCUGCCUGACAAGCACAGCGGUCAGGAGGUAUGUGUCUGUCCAAGCACAUUUAACCUUGUGCUUCCGUGCCUGUGAAUUGCACCUCAAUAAAAUUAAUUUUU
RNAcentral lists this long non-coding RNA (3535 nucleotides) under Marmota monax (woodchuck). The record is from RNAcentral. Lineage: Eukaryota; Metazoa; Chordata; Mammalia; Rodentia; Sciuridae.